GACGAACGCUGGCGGCGUGCUUAACACAUGCAAGUCGAACGGAAAGGCCCUGCUUUUGUGGGGUGCUCGAGUGGCGAACGGGUGAGUAACACGUGAGUAACCUGCCCUUGACUUUGGGAUAACUUCAGGAAACUGGGGCUAAUACCGGAUAGGAGCUCCUGCUGCAUGGUGGGGGUUGGAAAGUUUCGGCGGUUGGGGAUGGACUCGCGGCUUAUCAGCUUGUUGGUGGGGUAGUGGCUUACCAAGGCUUUGACGGGUAGCCGGCCUGAGAGGGUGACCGGCCACAUUGGGACUGAGAUACGGCCCAGACUCCUACGGGAGGCAGCAGUGGGGAAUAUUGCACAAUGGGCGGAAGCCUGAUGCAGCAACGCCGCGUGCGGGAUGACGGCCUUCGGGUUGUAAACCGCUUUCGCCUGUGACGAAGCGUGAGUGACGGUAAUGGGUAAAGAAGCACCGGCUAACUACGUGCCAGCAGCCGCGGUGAUACGUAGGGUGCGAGCGUUGUCCGGAUUUAUUGGGCGUAAAGGGCUCGUAGGUGGUUGAUCGCGUCGGAAGUGUAAUCUUGGGGCUUAACCCUGAGCGUGCUUUCGAUACGGGUUGACUUGAGGAAGGUAGGGGAGAAUGGAAUUCCUGGUGGAGCGGUGGAAUGCGCAGAUAUCAGGAGGAACACCAGUGGCGAAGGCGGUUCUCUGGGCCUUUCCUGACGCUGAGGAGCGAAAGCGUGGGGAGCGAACAGGCUUAGAUACCCUGGUAGUCCACGCUGUAAACGGUGGGUACUAGGUGUGGGGUCCAUUCCACGGGUUCCGUGCCGUAGCUAACGCUUUAAGUACCCCGCCUGGGGAGUACGGCCGCAAGGCUAAAACUCAAAGGAAUUGACGGGGCCCCGCACAAGCGGCGGAGCAUGCGGAUUAAUUCGAUGCAACGCGUAGAACCUUACCUGGGUUUGACAUGGAUCGGGAGUGCUCAGAGAUGGGUGUGCCUCUUUUGGGGUCGGUUCACAGGUGGUGCAUGGCUGUCGUCAGCUCGUGUCGUGAGAUGUUGGGUUAAGUCCCGCAACGAGCGCAACCCUUGUUCACUGUUGCCAGCACGUUAUGGUGGGGACUCAGUGGAGACCGCCGGGGUCAACUCGGAGGAAGGUGGGGACGACGUCAAGUCAUCAUGCCCCUUAUGUCCAGGGCUUCACGCAUGCUACAAUGGCCGGUACAGAGAGUGGCGAGCCUGUGAGGGUGAGCGAAUCUCGGAAAGCCGGUCUCAGUUCGGAUUGGGGUCUGCAACUCGACCUCAUGAAGUCGGAGUCGCUAGUAAUCGCAGAUCAGCAACGCUGCGGCGAAUACGUUCCCGGG
RNAcentral lists this ribosomal RNA (1343 nucleotides) under uncultured bacterium. RNAcentral's name for it is "16S ribosomal RNA". It matches the Rfam family "Bacterial small subunit ribosomal RNA", at positions 28 to 1378 of the family's 1533-position model. The record is from RNAcentral.